GUAGAGAUUGGACCUGUAAUCCCAGCACUUUGGGAGGCCAAGGUGGGAGGAUUGCUUAAGCCCUGGAGGUCAAGGCUGCAAUGUGCCAUUGCACUCUAGCCUAGACAACAGAGUGAGACCCUGUCUCAAAAAAAAAAAAAAAUUGGAAAUUUGUCGUAUCUGUGUAGGUAUGUGAUUCUUUGGAUAAAUGAUUCACUGUAUCUUCCUCAAAACUAGGUUAUUUGAAAGACUAAGAUCAUUCAACUGAUUGCACUGACUGCCAACUAAUUUUGCAGGAGAUGUUGCAGUAAAGAUCCUAAAGGUUGUCAACCCAACCCCAGAGCAAUUCCAGGCCUUCAGGAAUGAGGUGGCUGUUCUGCGCAAAACACGGCAUGUGAACAUUCUGCUUUUCAUGGGGUACAUGACAAAGGACAACCUGGCAAUUGUGACCCAGUGGUGCGAGGGCAGCAGCCUCUACAAACACCUGCAUGUCCAGGAGACCAAGUUUCAGAUGUUCCAGCUAAUUGACAUUGCCCGGCAGACGGCUCAGGGAAUGGACUAUUUGCAUGCAAAGAACAUCAUCCAUAGAGACAUGAAAUCCAACAGUAUCCUUUGGUUG
Molecule: small RNA, 598 nt
Filed under: Pan troglodytes (chimpanzee)
Lineage: Eukaryota; Metazoa; Chordata; Mammalia; Primates; Hominidae
Description: retained intron
Source: RNAcentral